Molecule: ribosomal RNA, 479 nt
Filed under: uncultured bacterium
Lineage: Bacteria
Description: partial 16S ribosomal RNA
Rfam family: Bacterial small subunit ribosomal RNA
Source: RNAcentral
GAUGAACGCUGGCGGCGUGCUUAACACAUGCAAGUCGAACGAAGCACUUAUCUUUGAUUCUUCGGAUGAAGAGGUUUGUGACUGAGUGGCGGACGGGUGAGUAACGCGUGGGUAACCUGCCUCAUACAGGGGGAUAACAGUUAGAAAUGACUGCUAAUACCGCAUAAGACCACGGAGCCGCAUGGCUCAGUGGGAAAAACUCCGGUGGUAUGAGAUGGACCCGCGUCUGAUUAGGUAGUUGGUGGGGUAACGGCCUACCAAGCCAACGAUCAGUAGCCGACCUGAGAGGGUGACCGGCCACAUUGGGACUGAGACACGGCCCAAACUCCUACGGGAGGCAGCAGUGGGGAAUAUUGCACAAUGGGGGAAACCCUGAUGCAGCGACGCCGCGUGAGCGAAGAAGUAUUUCGGUAUAUAAAGCUCUAUCAGCAGGGAAGAAAAUGACGGUACCUGACUAAGAAGCACCGGCUAAAUACGUG